GGAGUGAAAGGCUAAUCAAACUCGGAGAUAGCUGGUUCUCCCCGAAAUAUAUUUAGGUAUAGCGUCACGUAUCGUUAUCGGAGGUAGAGCACUGAAUGGACUAGGGGGCUCACCAGCUUACCAAACCCAAUUAGACUCCGAAUGCCGAUAAACGCUGAGCGUGGCAGUCAGACUGCGGGAGAUAAGUUUCGUAGUCAAAAGGGAAACAACCCAGACCAUCAGCUAAGGUCCCUAAGUUAAUACUAAGUGGAGAAGGAUGUGGGAAUGCUUAUACAGCCAGGAGGUUAGCUUAGAAGCAGCUAUCCUUUAAAGAAAGCGUAAUAGCUCACUGGUCUAGCGCGCCUGCGCCGAAAAUGUAACGGGGCUUAAGUAUUUCACCGAAGCUAUGGAUCUCCUUUAAGGAGAUGGUAGGGGAGCGUUCUAUAUUGGUUGAAGCGGUAUCGUAAGGGAUCGUGGACGGUAUAGAAGUGAUUAUGUUGGCAUGAGUAACGAAAAAACGGGCGAGAAACCCGUUCGCCGAAAACCUAAGGAUUCCGUGGCCAUGUUAAUCAGCCACGGGUUAGUCGGCUCCUAAGGCGAGGCCGAAAGGCGUAGUCGAAGGGAAACUGGUUAAUAUUCCAGUACUUGAGUGUACUGCGAUGGGGUGACGCAGAAAGGUAGGUCAUCCUGCUGUUGGAUUAGCAGGUUUAAGGACGUAGGCUUGAAGGGCAGGAAAAUCCGUUUUUCUUUAAGGCUGAGAUCCGACGACGAAAGCCGCAAGGCUGUAAAGUGACUGAUCCUCGGCUGCCAAGAAAACCCUCUAAGCAUAGGUACAUUCGAACCGUACCCUAAACCGACACAGGUAGGUGAGAAGAGAAUUCUAAGGCGCUUGAGAGAAACCACGUUAAGGAACUCUGCAAAUUGAGUCCGUAACUUCGGGAUAAGGACUGCCGAUAUUAGGUGAAGUGAUUUACUCACAGAGCUGAGGUCGGCCCCAGAAAAGAGGUCCAGGCGACUGUUUACCAAAAACACAGCACUAUGCAAACACGUAAGUGGACGUAUAUGGUGUGACUCCUGCCCGGUGCCGGAAGGUUAAGAGGAGGGGUUAGACUUCGGUCGAAGCUCUGAAUUGAAGCCCCGGUAAACGGCGGCCGUAACGAUAACGGUCCUAAGGUAGCGAAAUUCCUUGUCGGGUAAGUUCCGACCUGCACGAAAGGAGUAACGAUCUGGGCGCUGUCUCAACGUGGUUCUCAGCGAAAUUGAAAUAGCGGUGAAGAUACCGUUAACCCGCGGCAAGACGGAAAGACCCCGUGAACCUUUACUGCAGCUUGGCAUUGAAUCUUGGAAUAUUGUGUGCAGGAUAGGUGGGAGACUUUGAAGGUUAGACGCUAGUCUAGCUGGAGUCACUGUUGAGAUACCACCCUCGGUGUUUUAGGGUUCUAACCUGGGUCCAUUAUCUGGAUUAGGGACAGUGUCUGGUAGGCGGUUUGACUGGGGCGGUCACCUCCCAAAGAGUAACGGAGGUGCGCUAAGGUUCCCUCAGGCUGAUUGGAAACCAGCCGUAGAGUGCAAAGGCAUAAGGGAG
Molecule: ribosomal RNA, 1564 nt
Filed under: Globobulimina sp.
Lineage: Eukaryota; Foraminifera; Rotaliida; Buliminidae
Description: bacterial LSU rRNA
Rfam family: Bacterial large subunit ribosomal RNA
Source: RNAcentral